Molecule: ribosomal RNA, 488 nt
Filed under: Neisseria flava
Lineage: Bacteria; Pseudomonadati; Pseudomonadota; Betaproteobacteria; Neisseriales; Neisseriaceae
Description: bacterial SSU rRNA
Rfam family: Bacterial small subunit ribosomal RNA
Source: RNAcentral
AUUGACGCUGGCGGCAUGCUUUACACAUGCAAGUCGGACGGCAGCACAGAGAAGCUUGCUCUUGGGUGGCGAGUGGCGAACGGGUGAGUACAUAUCGGAACGUACCGAGCAGUGGGGGAUAACUAGUCGAAAGAUUAGCUAAUACCGCAUAUUUUCUGAGGAAGAAAGCAGGGGACCAUUUGGCCUUGCGCUGUUUGAGCGGCCGAUAUCUGAUUAGCUAGUUGGUGGGGUAAAGGCCUACCAAGGCGACGAUCAGUAGCGGGUCUGAGGGGAUGAUCCGCCACACUGGGACUGAGACACGGCCCAGACUCCUACGGGAGGCAGCAGUGGGGAAUUUUGGACAAUGGGCGCAAGCCUGAUCCAGCCAUGCCGCGUGUCUGAGGAAGGCCUUCGGGUUGUAAAGGACUUUUGUCAGUGUGAAGAAAAGGGCGGGGUUACACUACCCCUGUCUGAUGACGGCUACCCUGAAGCAAUAAGUCACCGGCAUA